AUUGAACGCUGGCGGCAUGCCUUACACAUGCGAGUCGAACGGCAGCACGGGUGCUUGCACCUGGUGGCGAGUGGCGAACGGGUGAGUAAUACAUCGGAACAUGUCCUGUAGUGGGGGAUAGCCCUGCGAAAGCCGGAUUAAUACCGCAUACGAUCUACGGAUGAAAGCGGGGGACCUUCGGGCCUCGCGCUGUUGGGUUGGCCGAUGGCUGAUUAGCUAGUUGGUGGGGUAAAGGCCUACCAAGGCGACGAUCAGUAGCUGGUAUGAGAGGACGACAAGCCACACUGGGACUGAGACACGGCCCAGACUCCUACGGGAGGCAGCAGUGGGGAAUUUUGGACAAUGGGCGAAAGCCUGAUCCAGCAAUGCCGCGUGUGUGAAGAAGGCCUUCGGGUUGUAAAGCACUUUUGUCCGGAAAGAAAUCCUUGGCCCUAAUACGGUCGGGGGAUGACGGUACCGGAAGAAUAAGCACCGGCUAACUACGUG
This 486-nucleotide ribosomal RNA is filed under the name uncultured bacterium. RNAcentral's name for it is "partial 16S ribosomal RNA". It matches the Rfam family "Bacterial small subunit ribosomal RNA", at positions 30 to 507 of the family's 1533-position model. The record is from RNAcentral.